RNAcentral lists this ribosomal RNA (253 nucleotides) under uncultured bacterium. RNAcentral's name for it is "partial 16S ribosomal RNA". It matches the Rfam family "Bacterial small subunit ribosomal RNA", at positions 524 to 776 of the family's 1533-position model. The record is from RNAcentral.
UACAGAGGGUGCGAGCGUUAAUCGGAAUUACUGGGCGUAAAGCGCGCGUAGGCGGCUUUUCAAGUCGAUUGUGAAAGCCCUGGGCUUAACCUGGGAAUUGCAGUCGAUACUACUCAGCUAGAGUAUGGGAGAGGGCAGUGGAAUUCCCGGUGUAGCGGUGAAAUGCGUAGAUAUCGGGAGGAACAUCAGUGGCGAAGGCGGCUGCCUGGCCCAAUACUGACACUCAGGUGCGACAGCGUGGGGAGCAAACAGG